Molecule: long non-coding RNA, 12252 nt
Filed under: Vitis vinifera (wine grape)
Lineage: Eukaryota; Viridiplantae; Streptophyta; Magnoliopsida; Vitales; Vitaceae
Description: long non-coding RNA (VVIN_LNC004318)
Source: RNAcentral
UGAAACCUGAAUGACGAGCUCUUUCACAAAUAGUAUGUUGCUGAUUAUUUUCAAUUUUUUCCUCCAAAUUAAAACAUACACCUCCAGCAACGAAUUGAGCAAGAUCAUGAACAAGAUCAUGCAUCACAAAUUGUGAUGAACUAUGAUUUGAUUGUUGGAAAAAUGACCUUGCAAAUAAUUCAUGAAAGAAUUCGGUGCCUAUCUCCUCCAUUUGCUUCUGUCUAUUUACUUGAUGCAAGAAUCCCUCUCCCAUCCACAGCAAGACUAAUUCAUCCACAUCGAAUUCGUAGUCCUUCGGAAAUAUAGAGCAAUAAGCAAAGCAGCACUUCAAAUGUGAAGGAAGAUGAUGAUAACUCAAUUUGAGAGCUGGAAGAAUAGUGUUAUUCUCUUGAUCUGGUAAGUCCCAUAUCUUGCUUUUCAGUAUAUCCUCCCACGCAUCACGAUUCAGUUUUGUGCGCAACAUUCCUCCCAAGGCCUUUGCAGCCAAAGGUAGCCCUUUGCACUUUUUCACUAUUUCUUCACCAACAACUCUCAGGUGUGGAUGAUUAUGGAAGUUUCUUGUACCUAAUGCUUGCUGGGCAAGCAAAGACAAGCACUCAUCAUUGGAUAACUCCUUGAGGGGAUAGGCUGAGCUGGCUCCGAUGGCUGAUACAACCCCUUGAUUACGAGUUGUGACAAUAACCCUGCUGCCUUGUGCUCCAGUCCUCAUUGGAGCGUACAAAGUAUCCCAUUUAUCACAAUUCUGAUUCCAAACAUCGUCUAAAACAAGAAGAAACUUUGUUCCAGAGAGUUUCUCUUUCAGUUUGACUUGAAGCAGGUUGAGAUCGUUGAAAUCGGACAUAUCAGAAGCAACAGACUGAACAAUUGUCUUUGUUACCCUCAAGACAUCAAAAUCAUCAGAGACACAAGCCCAAACUCUUAGAUCAAAAUGACUCUCCACUUUGUCAUCGUUGUAGGCAAGCUGAGCAAGAGUAGUUUUGCCCACGCCUCCCAUGCCAAUUAUGGGAAUGACACGGACUGCGUCAUCACUUGGCUCAUGAUCGUGGAGCAACAAGUCGAGUAUGGCUGCUUUAUCGGUUUCCCUACCACAAACACGCGAUUCAUCUACCAAAGAAGUGGUGGGUAGUAUUUCUGUUGCUUUGGCGGACCUUUUCCCGGUAACUUUUUCAGUUAAAAGGAGAUUAUUUUGCUGUGAAGAAAUAUCUUGCAACCUUUCAGUGAUCUUCUCUAUCUUGGACCUCAUCUUAACAUUGAACUUAAUAGCACUUGGAGUGAAGCUAGUACAACAAGAAGGGAUAAGGCUCCGGAACUUACUUGUACUGGGUUGAGUUUCCGCCAUCAACUUCCGCCCCAAAGCUUCAGUGGCCAAUUCGUCCAGGAUGUCCUCCACAUCAUAAGCCAAGUCUCUGAGGUCGUCGAGCCAUAUCUUCACCACUUGGUUUUCCAUCUGCUUCUCCUCCGCAUCCUCCAGCACGGCAUGAAUUUUCUUCAGUGUUUUCUCCCACUUGUUGAGCUCAGCAUGAACUUGCACUUGGCGAGCAUAAUCGAGCAGGUCAGAAGAGAUCAACUCGUCCAACAGAGUCUUAAAGAAAGAAGAGAGAAAAGCCUCUCCAACAAAAGCCAUGGAAGCAAGUACGAGAAAUCAAAGGCAGAGAAACGACUCAGAAUCAGAACAGCACAAGUAGAAAGUCAGACAAGGUUGGUUAUGGAGCAAUUAUAGAUUACAAUGUCAUUCCUCUUUGACCACACCCAUAUUCAUCACUUUGUACGGUUGAGAUCCUCCAAUCAAAUUGUGAUUAUAAUCACAUAUUUGAUGUUAGCACACUGUAUUAAGAUUCCCUUUUAUUAAUCUAAUGAUACUUAACAACUCCUGCAAUUGAUCUUUUAUUAAUACUCAUCACAUUAAUUAAAAAUUCAUCUAAAAUGUAAGGAAUCUCCAGCAAAUUUCUUGACGUGUGUAUGCAUAUUUUUAUAUUGCAAGUGGGUUUCCCACUCUAUAUUUUAGAUUAAUCUUAACAGCUGCCCUUUGUCCCCAUCUAAUUUGGAUCAGGAAUAUUGUCGGCCAACCAGAAAACUAUCUGUUUUUUACUCUUCAGAACAGAAAAUAGAUUUUUUUUUUAUUGUUUUCAUUUAUUUUUGAAUGCUAUUUUAAAAAAAUAAUUAUACGAAUAUGCAAAAUAAUUAAAAAUAAAACAUUAGAUGUAGAAAUUAUUUUUAAAACAUAUUUAAAAAUAUUAAAAAUAUUUUAGAUUUUCAAAUUGACUUUUAUUCUAUAAAACCGUUUAAAAAAAUUAUUCUAAAAAGCCGUUUUUCAUAACUAUUUUAAAAAACAAUUACUAAAGAAAACAUUAGUGCCUCUUUUCUAAGAAAAAAGAAUUGAAACUCAUUUUAAUUCUAAAUUUAUUAAUUUUUAUUUAAUAAAACUACCUAGUUAACUCCUAGAAAAAACAAAUUUUAAUUUUGAUUUUGAAUCUCACGCUUGAUUUUGAUUUGUUUAAUUUAUUAGGGUUCACCAAUUCGUGGAGUGCGAGUAAGGACGAAAACAUCGGGAUAUAUCGGCAAUAUAUCGGAAAAGGUGGAUGCAAUAUAUAGGUAAAAUAUAUUAUCCGAUAGAAAUAUCUUGAUGAUAUAUCGGUAAUCAUAGAUAUAUCGACAAUACAAGCAAAAUAUCCGCCUUAAAUGAAAAAAUAUUUAAAAUUUUGAAAAUAUAUUAAAUAUAUAGAGAUAUAUCGGUGAAAAAUCGAUUAAAAAAAUUAAAUUAUUAUAAAUAAGUUAAUUUUAAUUAUAUUAUAAUUUAUUUUAUAUACUAAGUAAAUAUAAAACAAAUACAAAAUCAUAAAUAUUUUAUGUGAAAACGUACCAAUAUUUUUAAAUAAAAAUCAUAAAUACAUUUAAAUCACAUAAUCAGUAUAGUUGCAACAAUUUAGUUUUAAAUUAAUAAUUUUAUUUUAUUUUGAUAUUCAAGUAUAAUAAUAAUAUAUUGAGAAUAAAUUUACUUAGUAUAUUUUUAAAUUAAUACAAUACUAAAUUUAAAUUAGUAUAUUUUUAUAAUUAAUUAAUAUAUUUUCAAUAGAUGUAAGUAAAUUAACUUAAUAUAGUAAUAUAUUUAAAUCACAUAAUUAAUAUAUUUAUAAUAAUUUAACUUCAUAAUAAGUAUACACUUACAAAAUUUACUUUUCUUAUUGACCAACACGAUAUAAUUAAAUUUAAUAUCCCAAAUUAUAUAUAUGUCAUUUCUUUCAACAAAACAAUUUUAAAAUGUGUAUUAUACUUUUAAUUUCAUUUUUAAGAGUUUUUUCUCAUAUUUUUAUAAGUUUUGAUUAAUUUUUGAUCUAUCGAUAUUUUGUGUCAAAAUAUCUAUCGAUAUUUUGUGUCAAAAUAUCUAUCGAUAUAACUCCGAUAUAUUCAUAAAAUUUCAUUAUCAAUAUAUUCGUGAUUACUGAUAUUUUCAUUUUUGAGUGUGAGACAUUUAAUAAAUUAGUCUCCAACUUGUUGGUAAUAGCAUGGAGUUGUUGGGGGUGAGGUCCAGACCGGGUGUAAAGAAGAAUUUGCAUUAUUGGUAGUAGUUGCAUUUGUGGUGUUUGAAAUAAGAGAAAAUAAAAGAAAAGAAAAUGGUUUUUGUAAUACAAACUGUACACUAGAAUAUCCAUGUUAUUAUUUAAUAACAUUGCUUAAAAUUAUUCAGAAGUCAUCAAACAUGUAGGCUAUGUUUGGUUGUGAAAAAUUUGAGUGAAAAAAAUUGAGGAAAGUGGAAGGAAAUAAAAAAAGUAAAGAAAAAAAAUAGAUUAAAAAAUAAUAAAUUAUUUUUAUAUGUUUAUUUAAACUCGUUUAAUUUAUUUUUCUCCAUUGUAUCUGUUCGCGGUGCAACAUAUAUGGUGAAGAAAAAUUAUAAGAUUUUUUACGAUUAUGAUGUUUUAUGUCUAUGCGGUAGUUGCUUGCUUUUCUCUCCUCUUCUCUCCCCUUCUCUCAUUUUGUACUAAUUUUUGACAUAGUGAAUUUUCUUCUCCUUCACUUAUAGUUUUUUUCAUUUUUUUUUACGUAAAUUUGUGUGUUUUUAUUUUAUUUUUCUUCAUAUUAUCUAUCAUCAUUUUUUCGUAACAAUAUUAAGAUUAAAUAAUUUCAAUUUACAUAAAUUUCUAAGUAAUUUUAAUUAUAUUUUAUUUUCUUUCAUAUUUUUCAUAGUAAAACUAAACAUAAGAGAACUAUUUUUCUUAGCAUUUUUUUUUUUCUUAAUAUUUUCUGGUAACAAAAUAUAGUUGUAGCCUUAUUUAAGUGUUUUUCUAUUGUACUAACUAUAUACUAAUUUUUUUAUCAAAAUUGAAUUUCACCUGGAAAUGGUUUGAUACACCUCAUUUCUAAACUAACAUAUAAAUAAUAUAUAUAUAUAUAUAUAAUUUUUCUUUUCAAAAAAAAAAAGAGAAAAGAAAACCUAUUUUAACUAAUCUAACCUCAAAUUAAUUCCAUGACAUUACACAUUUUUUUAAGUUAAUCAUUAUAAGUGAUUUCGUUUACAUAUUUUAAUGACAAAAUUUGUUUAAAGUACAAUAUUGUACAAAGUAAAUGUAGAAAAAAAAAAGCCUUAAAAAACAUAAGAAGUGACUUCUGCCAAAAGUAAAAGAAAAAAUAUUAAAAAAAAGAAGAAUAUGUUUUCAUGUUUUAUUUUAUUAUAAGAAAUAUAAAAGAAAUCAAACAAAAUUAAAAUUAGCCAAAAUUUUAUAUAUUUUAAAAUUAUUUAAUCUUUAUAUAUGAGAAUUAAAGCAAGUGAAAUGAGUUGAAGUAGCUUUUUUAUUUUUCUUUUCUUAUGAUUUUCCUUUCUAUUUUUUUCUUCCAUUUUUCUUCAAAUUUUCUGAAUCCAAACAUAACCUAAAAGUUUAAGAAUAUCAAGAGCUAACAUGAGAUGUGGAAUUGACCAAUUCAAAAUUAUUUUGGCAUGCUUGAUAGAACUAUUGUCCAUUUGGGGAAGUUUCUUCUUCUAUAGAAUUCGCCUAUAAACUUUUUCAGAUUUCUACAAGUUCAUAGCAAUUCAAGCACAUUUAUACCAUUCCCUUCAUUUUACAAAUAAUCAAAAUCACUUUUUCAUUCUACCAUUUACUCUUUAAUGUUCUCCUUUCUCUUUACAUUAAUAUCCAUCGUAUCUCUAAAAUUUUCUAUAACCUUGAAAGAGCAGAUAUCCCCAAAGCAACUAUGAGCUUUUUUAGAUUUCUAUGAGGUCGUAGUAACUCAAGCACAUUCAUAUGGUUCCCUUCAUUUUGAAAAUCCUCAAAAUCACUUUGUCAUUCCAUCAUUAACUUUUCAAUGUUCUCCUUUCUCUUUAAAUUAGUAUCCAUCAAUCAGAUCUCCUCCACAUUAUUAAAAUAUUUAGGCUCCAUUUCUUGCAUGACGUUCCAAGGAGGCUAGGGACUCCAUCAUCCAGAUUCCAAGACAGGUGAGAGAUGUAAGAAGAAGACACUCAUCAUUUGAAAGGAAACCAUUUAUGAGAGAACAUCUCAAAUGCACAAUGACGAAAUAAGCUUGGGACUUAUGUGUUAACAAAAAAGUAUUUUAUUCAUUUUUUAUACAUUAUUUUCAAUAGAAAAUAGUUCUCAUUUUCAUUUUCAAACAGGUUCUAGAACUUCUAACUUUUCUCUCACUAGCCUAAGUAACUUAAGCAACAUUGAAAAGACAUCUAUAUUUUGGGGUUAAGCUUCCAAUUGCGUUGAUUAAUGGAGUUGAAGUUUUGGCUGCACCUAGACAUGUAUGUUUAUGGUUUCAUUUUAAGUUGUGUCAUCAGCCCCUCAUCCUCUAAGACAAAAAAGUUUAUGACACAAGAAAUGGGCAUUCGUGAAAGCAAUGAAAUUAAAGGUACAACAAGAUUUACGCAAAAAACCCUCCAAUAAUGAGGGAAAAUCCAUGGGCCAGUAUAGAAAUAAUCCUCUAUGGUAAAAAGGAUAUUAUAGUAUCCUCACAAAUUUCUUUUUAAAAAGAAAGGAAAAAAACUCAAGGUAUUACAACUUUUAAGAAAAUAAAAAUGUUCAAAUCACCAUACCAGAGAACCAAAUCCUAUAGAAACAUCUGCUACUAAUGUCUAAGGAGAAAACAAGCUUCACAUUUCUUACAUUCUACACUAAGCACCAAAACCAAAGAUGGUUGAUUUUGCUUCAGCGACUACAAAUGUAAAAGCACAACAUUGAUGUCCUUAAGUUGAGUUCUUCUUGGAGAGCCAAAAGCGUCAAAAUUCCUUUCAUUUUUAUGCCAUCAACUAGCAGAAAAGUCAUGGUAUGGCAAAUCCAUCGAGCUUCCACCACCUACCACCUUACAUUCAGGAAGUACCAAAAAAAGGGAAAAAAGGGUUAGCCCAAUUGAAUAGAAUUUGCCUAACAAAGCAUUGUAAGUGUGAUCAUUGCCCCCAAUGUGAAAUGCUCCUCAACACUUACGUACACAAACAAUGAACUAUAAAAGUACUCAUUGAAAUUCUAAUUAAGAAGCACUUGAGCUGGUGGAAGAAAUACAAUGGCAUGAAAAUUAUGACUUACACAACAAAGAAACCUAUGAAUUCUAUUCAACAAACAAAAAGGAAAACCAUCAACUAUGAUUGAGUCAAUAACAUACCGUCAUACAUUUGUUAGGAACUUAGUCUGCCACUGCAUUAUUUUUCUCCCUCCUACAUGUAGAAAAGAAGUUUCUAUUAAUUAUAGAAGUGGAUAUUUAGACCAAGGAAAAACAGACUUAAGCAUCGGUGGUUAGUCAAGCAUACCUGGGUGAAGGAAAGAAUGAUCCAUCUCUCAACUUCUAGAGUAGGAAUAACACAACUCAAUUUAAAUUCAUAUUUCCAAUGAGGUCAUGUUGCUGAAUGUUGGAGAUGUAGGCAAUACUGAUCCAAACUUUCUCCUUUCUCUUUUAAGCAAUUUUGUCUCACAACAGGAAAAUUCUGGAUUUCAAGCACUAGGUGUUGUGUUCAGCUCUUUCUUCAGCAGUAGGGACCAAAGCUUAGCACAACUUAAGAUGAAUAGCACUUGAAGAAACUUUCAGCAAAAAUUAAGCUAACCUGAAGUUAGAGAAACAAGCAGAAUGAAUUUUUUAUCCGUAAAGGCCUGGUGCACCAGUGCCACUCAUAGAGAGGCGUCUCAAGCUUCCCACAAUUGAACCCAAACUAAACAAUGGGGCCAAACCCCUUUCCAUAAAUUACGGAACACCUGAACAAUCAAGGAUCAACCUUGGUAAUGAACGUAAAAAUGGAAAAGAAAAAAUUAAUGAACAAAAUUAAAAUAUUAAAAAAAUAAAAAGAAAAAGGGAAAAACCUUGAGUUGUGAUGAGUUUUGAAAUGCACCUUUUGUCUUUCUACAUGUGCAGAAAAAUUAGGGAGUUAAGAUUAUUAUUAUGAUGUUAAUGGAAUUAUGGGAGUAACUUAUUAAUGGGUUGGUCUCCGCUUCCAUUUUUGUGAUUGAAAAAUAAAAUCCAAUUUGAAAUUGAUUCAUGUGUUAAAAACCUAGCUUUUCCCUCUACAUAGGGAUGUGAAAAUCUUAGGUCAAUCAUAUUUACAUGUUAAUUUAAAUAUUUGAGAAAUUAAGAAGCCAGUACCAUUUCUAUGGACAAAAACCAGCUUCAUCAAAUUGUUGGAAUAGAAAUAAGCAAAUGUGUUUGAAAUAUUGAAUGAAGAAACCAGGUCAAUUGGAACUAAACUAAGCAAGUGCAACCAGAAAUCUUCUUAAGAUCAAACUUAAGCCACAAUAAAAUUGUUGCAAUCGAAUGAAUAAUUGAGAACAACAUACUAGCAUGUGAAUAAAGGGUGUUGACUCGAAUUUCAUCUACCUCUUCUAUACUUCUUACAUACAACAAUAUGAGGUCUGUUAGCUUAAGGGUGCCAUGCAAAAGGAAAUAUGAUUUAAUCAUGUAGAAAGAGAAACAUUUUAGAGAACAAGGAAAUAAGAUAGAUGAGAAAAGAAGAUUCUCACAAUUUUAAAAUUUAGAUGAGAAAAUUUGAAUCGUUGAAAUCAAGGAAGGUCAAGUCAUCUAUGAUUCCAUCCAGCAUCCAAUCUACAAUGUCAUAUCCUGGUUACAAAAUUGCAUUAGGAUAGAAAAAUGUAAAAUAAACAAAAACUCAAAAGUAAAAAUAAAAGAAAUUGGAACCAAGUUGCAAAUGGGCGUACUUUGAAUGCCUUCAUAAAUGCAGGGGAUGUGGGCGACGUUAGACCAAUAUUCUCCUCCCUCUUUUAAGUAUCUUUCUUCUAUGGUAGGACAACCAGAGAUGAAAAGUUCUUCAAGUGUUGCAGGAAGCGGCCCUAAGGACCAGAGGUUAGGGCAAUUUGAGAUAUCUAGGGAUCGAAGAGAGAUGAGGUUGCAGAGAGCCAAGGAGGCUAAGGAUUCCAUUCCAUCGAUAUAAAGGCGGGUGAGAGAAAAGAGAAGACGACUCUCUUUAACCGGAAAGGAAACCAUAUCUGGAAACAUUUCCCUAAUAAUCAAAUGAGAAAGAGUGGUCAGGGUGUCGAAGCCCCACUCAGAUAUGGGCGUUUUCAGAUUCUUACAGUUAUUGAUCCCAAGUGAUGCUAGGUUAGGGGCCAAACCCUCUUUCGGAAAGGACUCCAAUCCUAGGCAUUCGGAUAUGGUCAAGCUGCGCAGAGAUUUGAGGUUUCUCAUUUGAUGUGUUAGAGAUUUAAGAUUCUCACAUCCCUCAAUUUUAAGGUAUUCGAGGUUAGGGAUGGACAAGCCUCUUUCUGGAAAGCACUCCAGACCUCCACAAUCGUUUAUGACGAGCUUCCGAAGGCUGUCAAGGCAUCCUUGUAGGCUUUUCAGAUUUGGAUACUCCAUAAGUUGUAAAUACUCUAGGGCUGUACUGUUGGGUGACAUUUUCUCUGACACUGACUCCAAGUUUGUGCAUCUGGUUAUAGAAAGUUUCUUGAGAGUGAAGGGUAACUCCCCUGUUGGAAAGGAAUUGAGAGAGGAACAAUUAUCUAUUAACAAUGUUUCAAGACAACAAGUGUUGCUGCUGGAGGUUGAAUUGUGGUGCAUCAGCCCCUCUGGUAGAGACUCUAGACUUAGACAAUUUCUAAUACGAAGGUUCUUGAGUGUGGUGGGUAGCUCACCAUUUGGGAAGCAUUUGAGAAAUGGAGAACACUCAAUCGUCAAGACUUCAAGCGGACACGAGCUGUAGUUAUGAGGCAGCGAUUUUAGACCCUCACAAUAGAACAACUCUAGGCGUCUUAGCAUUGGUGGGAAACCCGAAUCAGGAAAUGACUCUAGUUUGGGGCAACUCCAUAUCUCCAGCUCUUCAAGACGUGUGAGAGUUUGCAAUCCAUUCGACAGCUUCUCCAGAUUAGCACAAUCACGUAUUUCCAAUUUUUUAAGAUUGCAAGGCAGCCAUUGCUCCUCCCACAAACAUGUCAGCCCAUCACAAUUGUAUAUCCGCAAUUCUUGCAAGGCUACCAAGGAUCUAGUAAAUCCGGUCCUCAAACAUGUCAAUCUUGAAAUCUGGAUGAGAUUUACAGUAACGAGGGAUGGAAGAUCAAACUGAGCACCUCCCAACACUGCCUCAUCGCAUUCUUUUAAAGUUAAUUCACGGAGAGAUGCAAGUUUUGGAAGCCCACACAUCAAUCCCGGACAUUCUAACACUUCAAGCUCUACUAGGGACUGCAGGCAUUUCGGCAAUUCCCCAAUCAGUUUUGGACAUUUCCUCAUAAAAAACUUUUCAAGAUGGGGAAAUGUUCCCACAUUUUCCUUGAUGAAAUUAGAAUGAGACCAAUUUUCCCAUUCUGGCAUAUCCUUAAACCUCAACUCCUUCAAAGAUGCAAAAGGAUUCAUACUCUCUCCAUAAAAUUCAGCACCUAUGCUUUUAACUUGGCUCAUACCUUCAAUACACAAAACCUUGAGCACCGAUAGUCCACCCAGAUUUGGUAAUAACAUGCAUUUUUGGCAAUUUUUGAGAGUUAGUUCCACCAUUACUGAGAAUGAGGGAUCUCCUAACCAACUUGGAAAUUUGGAUCCACCAUAAAAUGCAAUUGUGAGCCUUUUUAAAUUUUCACGAGGCUGCAAGGACUCCAAGACAUGCAGUUCACAUAUAUCGUUUCGUACAUCCCAAGAAUCAUUACUCCACUGCAUCGUCAACUCUUCAAUUUUUUUUUUAUCUUUUAAAUUAGGAGCUCUUGCCUCUCCAACAUCCACUACCUCUUGCAAACUAGAAAUAGAAAGCACUCCUUGGAGGUUCGAACAAUUCUUGAGUUCGUCAAUUCCAACCCCUCUACUUUUGCUCACAAUGAACCUAGUCAACACUUGCAAAUUUGUGAGGUUGCUAAAUUGGAAAGGCAUUUCUCGUAGUCGACUUGUACGUGUAAUAUCAAGGUGCCGAAGGUUUUUCAGCUUUCCAAUCCCUAUAGGCAAUUCGGUAAGUUCAUGACAACCACGUAAUAUCAACGUUUGUAAAUUAUAAAGAUGACCCACUGAAUUAGGUAGACUUUGUAUCCUAGAGUUGGAAAAAUUGAGAUAACGCAGAUGUAUUAACUCACCAAUCAAACAUGGUAGCUCUCCCAUGAUAUAAUCAGUCAAAGAUAGUACCCGCAAGUAUCUCAUUGGCAUUAUUAGGUUAUGUAACACCUGGUUAGAUAUUUUUCCGGACAAAGUAAAUGAAUCUUGAGGCAUUGUGAUUGGUACUGCUAUUAAUGUGCGUAGAUUCUUCGCUUUGUCAAAGGCUUCAAAUUUUCCAACAACCUCAAAUUCUUGCCGAGUGAAACAUGAAUGACGAGCUCUUGCAGAAAUAGCAUGUUGGUCAUCGUUUUCCAAUUUGUCCUCCAAAUUGAAACAUACGUCUCCAGCAACCAAUUGAGCAAGAUCAUGAAUAAGAUCAUGCAUCACAAAUUGUGAUGAAUGAUGAUUAGAUUGUUGGAAAAAAGACCUUGCUAAUAAUUCAUGAAAGUACGCGGUGCCUAUCUCCUCCAUCUGCUUCUUUCUGUUCACUUGGUGAAGGAAUCCCUCUCCCAUCCACAGCAAGACUAAUUCAUCCACAUUGAAUUCGUAGUCCUUUGGAAAUAUAGAGCAGUAAGCAAAGCAGCACUUCAAAUGAGAAGGAAGAUGAUGAUAACUCAAUUUGAGAGCUGGAAGAAUACUGUUAUUCUCUUUUGGUAACUCCCAUAUCUUGCUUCCGAGUAUUUCCUCCCAUGCAUCACGAUUUAGUUGUGUGCGCAACAUUCCUCCUAAGGCCUUUGCAGCCAAAGGUAGCCCCCUGCACUUUUUCACAAUUCGUUCGCCGACAGCUCUCAAGUGUGGAUGAUUAUCAAAGUUUCUGGUAUGUAUAAAUGCAUGCUGGGCAAACAAAGAUAAGCAAUCGUCAUUUGAUAACACCUCGAGGGGAUAAGCUGAGCUGGCUCUGACAGCUGGUACAACCCUUUGAUCACGAGUGGUGACAAUAACCCUGCUGCCUUGUGCUCCAGUUCUCAUUGGCUUGUAUAAAAGGUUCCAUUUAUUACAAUCCUGACUCCAAACGUCGUCUAAAACAAGGAGAAACUUUUUUCCAGAGAGUUCAUCAUUCAGUUGGACUUGAAGCUGGUUGAGAUCCUUGGCAUCGGAUUUCCUAGAGGUAGAGGCAACUGACUGAAGAAUUGUCCUGGUUACCCCCACGACAUCAAACUCAUCAGAGACGCAAACCCAAACUCUUAGAUCAAAAUGACUCUUCACUCCAUCAUGGUUGUAGGCAAACUGAGCAAGAGUAGUUUUGCCCACGCCUGCCAUGCCAAUUAUGGCAAUGACACGGACUGCAUCAUCACUUGGCUCAUGAUAAUGGAGCAAAGAGUCGACUAUGGCUGCUUUCUCUGUUUCCCUUCCAUAAACAAUAGGUUCAUCUACCAAAGAAGUGGUGUGUGGUAUUUCUCUUGUUUUGGCGGACCUUUUCCCAGAAUUUUUUUCUGUUGAAAGGAGAUUAUUUUUCCGUGAAGAAAUAUUUUCCAACCUGGCAGUGAUAUUCUCUAUCUUGGUCCUCAUCUCAACAUUGAACUUAAUAGCACUUGGAGUGAAACUAGUACAACAAGAAGGGAUAAGGCUCCGGAACUUACUAGUGCUGGGUUGAGUUUCCACCAUCAACUGCCGCCCCAAAGCUUGAGUGGCCAAGUCGUCCAGGAUGUCCUCCACAUCAUAAGCCAAGUCACUGAGGUCGUCCAGCCAUAUCUUCACCACCUUCUCUUCCAUCUGCUUCUCCUCCGCAUCCUCCAGCACGGCAUUAAUUUUCUUCAGUGUUUUCUCCCACUUGUUGAGCUCAUCAUGAACUUGCACUUGGCGAGUAUAAUCGAUCAG